This 467-nucleotide ribosomal RNA is filed under the name uncultured bacterium. Its description in RNAcentral is "bacterial SSU rRNA". It matches the Rfam family "Bacterial small subunit ribosomal RNA", at positions 338 to 795 of the family's 1533-position model. The record is from RNAcentral.
CCUACGGGAGGCUGCAGUGGGGAAUAGUCUACAAUGGUCGAAAGACUGAUAGUGCGACGCCGCGUGAACGAAGAAUCCCUUCGGGGUGUAAAGUUCUUUUCUAUUCGAGCAAUGGUUUUUAUGUGAUAAGCAUGAGGACAGGGAUAUUAGGAUAGGAAUAAGCAACGGCUAACUCCGUGCCAGCAGCCGCGGUAACACGGGGGUUGCAAGCGUUGUCCGGAAUUACUAGGCGUAAAGGGCAGGUAGGCGGAUACGUAAGUUUUUUGUUAAAGGCACUGGCUUACCCAGUGUAAGGCAGGAGAUACUGCGUAUCUGGAAUGCGGUUGAGGAAGACAGAAUUCCUGGUGUAGCGGUGGAAUGCGCAGAGAUCAGGAGGAAUACCAAAGGCGAAGGCAGUCUUCUAAGCCGUUAUUGACGCUAAACUGCGAAGGUGUGGGUAUCAAACAGGAUUAGAUACCCCAGUAGUC